UCUUUGGCCCUUCAUGCAAAUAACAUUUCUGAACCUGCCUCAGCCGUAAUAGAGUCAACGUGCACUCCAGCCAUGAUAAGCUUCCCGAUUCCCACCUACUUAAUUUCACUGAGAAGUGAGUUGAACCUCGGGUGCUUUGAGGCAACUGGUUGGGAGUGAACCAUCUUUCCCUCUAGUAUGUCCGUCUCCCCCAGGCUGUGUGGGUCCUGUCUCUGAUAAGCCACAGGCAUGUGUUUAUGUGAAGACUUGAUGAUUAGCAGCAGACUUCUUUAAAUAGCUUUUUAAAUGACGUCUCACAGUCCUAGAAUCAUCACGAACUUGAUGAGACGACCCAAGGUUUUACUUCUCUAUACUUUGACAAAGGGAAAGGUUACCGCCUCAUGUAUCUGCCCACUUAGGGGAUCACGAAAGUCUCCAAAGGCCAGUGCCACACCACUUUGGAUUCUUGUGAUUAUGAUGUCAUUGCCAUGAUCUUCUGACUGGUGAAGACUACCUGCCACGUCUGUAAGAGGCAGGAGCUACUGAAUUCAUGGGCAUGAAAAAACCCAGCUGCCCUCCCUAGGGAUCCUGUAGUGUGAGCAGUGAUGAGAUGAGCCAAGAUGGAGGCCGAUGUCAGAUCUAACUUGGCUUAACCCCUGGCCCACCCCAUCCCACCCUUGUUUCCUCCCCUCUCUUCAAGCCCUGCCCACAUGGCGAGCGCCUGUGCAUUCGGCAUUCUGUCGUCUGUGGUGACACAGAACAGUGUGGAGUCCCACUCAUUCUUUGGAACAAAGCACAGCCAGCUUGGUGCCAGAGGUGUGAAGGUGUGUGACUCACUUAUAGCAUGAGUCUGCCUCACUUCCCCUGGCCUGUGCUGCUUGCUUGCUUGCUUGUUUCUGCCCGAGGCUCUGUAUGACUGGGGAGAAGCCAAUCAACCAUACCUGGAGGGAAGAGAGUACUCACUUGACAGUGUGGAGACCUGGCCUGCAAACCUGGAUCUGCCACUUUCAACUGUCUGAGCUUGGGAGAACUGCCUCUCAUGUGGGUUUCCCUCUCUCUAAGAUGUCUAGGUCCUUGGGGAUCUUUGCUCCUUAGUGUGUCACAGGCAUGAGCAGCAAUGGGAAGCCUCUGAAAUCUUAUUAGGAAGGCAGAGUCUUAGACCUUCUCUAGACUCACUGAACUUGAAGUUGCAUUCAAGAAGAUCCCCAAAUAGUUAAGGGAGUGUGGCCCCACAGUCCCCAUUAGCCUUUGGCCCUGGGACCUAAGGAGUCUCCAAGCUUUCUCCCUGUAGGAGUGCAGCUGUGGACUGAGCUUUGCUCCAGAGGAAUUUCCCCCAGUUUCCACAUGCCCUGUGUGUGCGUGUUCCUUCUCUGCUGUAGCUCUCAAAGGUAGCAACAAGAUACUUGAUAAAUUCCAGGAGCUCAUUCUCUAUGAGCCAACAUUGCCUUCUAUGGUGUUCAUCUCAGGGCUAGGGGAUGACCCGCUGGAAUCUGUUAUCACAGAUCAUUGGACUCUUGCUCUCCAAGGCCAUGGUCAGAGGCUCCAUCCUGUAAGAGCAUGUCUGCUAACUGGGGAGAUGAUUCAGGAGUCAAGCUAAUGCCUUCUCAGCAGAUGCAGUGUGAAUGCGCCCAACUGUCUUCAUCUUGCCAUUAUCACACUAAGAGCAAGAAGAAGAAGAAGAGUGCAAACGGCCUCCGGGAUUCCCUGCAGCGAGGGCUCUGUGUGAGGUUUCUGAGUCCAGACUUACACUGAGAAGCCAAGCUGCUAGUUGAGCCCAGUGAUGCCAGAAGAGUCCCUGGGGCGGGGCUAAGCCCUGUGCUCUGUGUGUUCCCUUCAGUGGGCAUUGGACUCACAGUAAACUCCUGGGGUAAAUAAACGAGAAGACAGUGCUCUGAAGCCAAGGGUACGAGAAUGAUCUGUCAUCAUGCGGACUCAGAAUCACAUCAUGUCACAUAACAACAUAGCCAUUUCUUUAUUUAGGCAACUGCCCUAUACCAUAAAAGCUAUGAGACAGCUUAAAGGAAACAUGUACAUUUAGGGCAUGAUAUAAAUACAAAGUGCAAAAUCAGACCAUGGGAAAUAUAAAUUAGUGGAGCAGGUCAGCCUGGGUUACCAAACAGAGCACACCUCUCCUAUCAGCCCAGGAAUGGUGGUCUCCAGUAGAUACUGGAGUCAGGCUGUAUUGGACGACAUGUAAUUUAGGCUAGAAAUGCAGUCUUCUCCUUGAAGUCACAAACAACACACAGACAGCAGAGGCCUAGAGUGCUUGUCAAAAUAAAAAAAAAUGCCUGAAGGUUUCGGUCUACCUGAAGCUCAGUGUGAGCAGCCCCGUGGCCUGGCUCUGUACCUAGGCCUGUGUGAAGAGUGCCAGCAUGUUCGUCUGUGAGGGGAGUCCCCUUGCGUGCACUUUAGCUGUGCAUUUCCAUCUCCAUGUUGGAAUCUGCUUGUGUGUCCCCUGAGUGACAGGAUGAAGAGGAGCCAGAGGCUCAGAGUCUAGUGAACGUCAGAGGGACAUGGCAGCAGCACUUCAUAAUGCAUGUUCAUGAGAGACCCCUGUUGGGUGUCUGUGCUUGAUUCCAAUGGGCAGUUCUUUGGAAGAACUUUGGCCAGAGGCUUCCUUGGUAUCGAAGCCUGUAGUAGAGUGGUCCCUUUAAAAGCCUCGCUGGUGGAACUUCCUGACUUCUCGGUCCCUCACAAACUUCCGGAAUGGUGGCAGCUGUCUCAGCGGUUUGGUGCAGGGUGCUUGGGCUCCCGAUAGAGCCCUGGUAGUGGUCACAGUCGUUUGUGGCUGUCCCUGUGGGUGAUGUGAAAGCUUCAUCAUUGCAGCGUCUGGGUCCCUCCCGGAUGCACUCAGGGAUGUGCUGCAGAGAGAGCCCGUCUUGAUUUGGUUCUUCUGCGUUAGACAGACCUGGGCUGAACAAAAGUAGACAAACAUGGGUCAGACAAGACUCCAUGGCCAGACUUGGGUCUGAGUCCCAGGACCUGAGUUCCUUAACACUCACUAUUUUUUCUUGAACUACUUGAAAUAAAUCUGAGACUCGGAUUUCUUCCACCUA
Non-coding RNA from Peromyscus maniculatus bairdii (prairie deer mouse), 3035 nucleotides. NCBI's taxonomy places the organism in Eukaryota, Metazoa, Chordata, Mammalia, Rodentia, Cricetidae. The record is from RefSeq and is a predicted model, not a curated record.